Molecule: ribosomal RNA, 579 nt
Filed under: uncultured bacterium
Lineage: Bacteria
Description: bacterial SSU rRNA
Rfam family: Bacterial small subunit ribosomal RNA
Source: RNAcentral
GGCGACGAUGUCUAGGGGUUCUGAGAGGAAGGUCCCCCACACUGGUACUGAGACACGGACCAGACUCCUACGGGAGGCAGCAGUGAGGAAUAUUGGUCAAUGGGCUUACGCCUGAACCAGCCAAGUCGCGUGAGGGAAGACUGCCCUAUGGGUUGUAAACCUCUUUUGUCAGGGAGCAACGCCGGCUACGUGUAGCCGGACUGAGAGUACCUGAAGAAAAAGCAUCGGCUAACUCCGUGCCAGCAGCCGCGGUAAUACGGAGGAUGCGAGCGUUAUCCGGAUUUAUUGGGUUUAAAGGGUGCGUAGGCGGAAUGCCAAGUCAGCGGUAAAAUCGCGGGGCUCAACCUCGCUCCGCCGUUGAAACUGGCGUUCUUGAGUGGGCGAGAAGUAUGCGGAAUGCGUGGUGUAGCGGUGAAAUGCAUAGAUAUCACGCAGAACUCCGAUUGCGAAGGCAGCAUACCGGCGCCCAACUGACGCUGAAGCACGAAAGCGUGGGUAUCGAACAGGAUUAGAUACCCUGGUAGUCCACGCAGUAAACGAUGAAUACUAGCUGUUCGGGGCAAAUGAGCCUUGAGUGGC